This 438-nucleotide ribosomal RNA is filed under the name uncultured bacterium. RNAcentral describes it as "bacterial SSU rRNA". It matches the Rfam family "Bacterial small subunit ribosomal RNA", at positions 339 to 794 of the family's 1533-position model. The record is from RNAcentral.
GUACGGAAGGCAGCAGUUGGGAAUCUUGGACAAUGGGGGAAACCCUGAUCCAGCCAUGCCGCGUGAGUGAUGAAGGCCUUCGGGUUGUAAAGCUCUUUUACCCGGGAAGAUAAUGACUGUACCGGGAGAAUAAGCUCCGGCUAACUUCGUGCCAGCAGCCGCGGUAAUACGAAGGGGGCUAGCGUUGUUCGGAAUUACUGGGCGUAAAGCGCGCGCAGGCGGUUUUUCAAGUCAGUGGUGAAAGCCCGGAGCUCAACUCCGGAACUGCCAUUGAAACUGUGAAACUUGAGGACGAGAGAGGUGAGUGGAAUUCCCAGUGUAGAGGUGAAAUUCGUAGAUAUUGGGAAGAACACCGGUGGCGAAGGCGGCUCACUGGCUCGUUUCUGACGCUCAGGCGCGACAGCGUGGGGAUCAAACAGGAUUAGAUACCCUGGUAGG